UUAACCGGAUUAGAUACCCUGGUAGUCCACGCCGUAAACGAUGGGUGCUAGUUGUCAGGCAGCAUGCUGUUUGGUGACGCAGCUAACGCGUUAAGCACCCCGCCUGGGGACUACGGUCGCAAGACUAAAACUCAAAGGAAUUGACGGGGGCCCGCACAAGCGGUGGAGCAUGUGGUUUAAUUCGAGGCAACGCGAAGAACCUUACCAGCUUUUGACAUCCCGGUCGCGGUUACCAGAGAUGGUUUCCUUCAGUUCGGCUGGACCGGUGACAGGUGCUGCAUGGUUGUCGUCAGCUCGUGUCGUGAGAUGUUGGGUUAAGUCCCGCAACGAGCGCAACCCUCGCCUUUAGUUGCCAGCAUUUAGUUGGGCACUCUAGAGGGACUGCCGGUGAUAAGCCGGAGGAAGGUGGGGAUGACG
Molecule: ribosomal RNA, 417 nt
Filed under: uncultured bacterium
Lineage: Bacteria
Description: bacterial SSU rRNA
Rfam family: Bacterial small subunit ribosomal RNA
Source: RNAcentral